UACGAAGGGGGCUAGCGUUGCUCGGAAUUACUGGGCGUAAAGGGCGCGUAGGCUGCCAUGCUAGUCAGGUGUGAAACCCCCGGGCUCAACCUGGGAACUGCACUUGAUACGGUAUGGCUUGAGGACGAGAGAGGGUGGUGGAACUCCCAGUGUAGAGGUGAAAUUCGUAGAUAUUGGGAAGAACACCAGUGGCGAAGGCGGCCACCUGGCUCGUUCCUGACGCUGAGGCGCGAAAGCGUGGGGAGCAAAC
This 250-nucleotide ribosomal RNA is filed under the name uncultured bacterium. RNAcentral's name for it is "partial 16S ribosomal RNA". It matches the Rfam family "Bacterial small subunit ribosomal RNA", at positions 524 to 773 of the family's 1533-position model. The record is from RNAcentral.